AGGGGAUAUAGUCAGUGAUAUUUUAAUAGUCUUGUAUGGUGACAGAUGGUAGCUGCACUCAUGGGGAGCAUAGUACAUAGAGUUGUGGAACCAAUAUGUUGUACACCUGAAACUUAUGUAACAUUAUGUGUCAACUAUACCUCAAUAAAAAAAAAUAGAAUUUGUAAAUAAGAAGAAAAAUAAAUAAAAUUAACUGCUACUAAGAAAACAACAAAGGUUCACACCUUAGGAUAGUUUUCUUGAAACAUUUUCCAAAACAUCACAAUUCCUAAAUUGAGAACCAUAGUGUAAAUCCAGGGAGAAAUUCUACCUCAAAUUUGACUAAAUAUCUAGAAGUAAUGAUUUUCUCUUUGUUCACACUCGUGUAGGGGUUUUUUAAUUUAGAUGUCAUUAACAUUCAGAUUUUAAAUUUGAUAGACAUAAGCUAUAAAGACAGCCCACCUGUAGAGAUGUGACCAAAAUGGGAUUCUUACUGCACACACUCAUUCCAGAACACAAGAGAAUUUCAGCUUGUUCUCAAAGAAUACCAAAAUAGAAAGAAAGAAAGAAAGAAAGAAAGAAAGAAAGAAAGAAAGAAAGAAAGAAAGGCAGGCUCUUAAGCUCUCCUAAGCACAUAAUCAGAUCUUUCCGUCUCUUAUGGGGACUAUUGUUUGGGUAAAAGAAUAAUGGUAGGAGGAAACAUAAAUUCAAGGAAGGUUGAAUUCCCACAAGGAGAAUAAAUGAAUCAAUGGCAUCACAUUUCAAAGAAAUUUUAAUAAGUAUCACCAAAACUGCCUCCAGAAGGAAAUACCUGUUUAUAUUCUCAACAACAAUAUAUGAAUGACUGGUUUUCUAACCCUUAAAAUUACUGGAAGAUUUUGGUAGAAAAACUUUAUACUUACGUUUUUUUAUUGUGGUAAA
Molecule: long non-coding RNA, 900 nt
Organism: Herpailurus yagouaroundi (jaguarundi)
Lineage: Eukaryota; Metazoa; Chordata; Mammalia; Carnivora; Felidae
Exons: 4
Source: RefSeq, a predicted model, not a curated record